This 584-nucleotide long non-coding RNA is filed under the name Mus pahari (shrew mouse). Its description in RNAcentral is "predicted gene, 26738 (MGP_PahariEiJ_G0002892.1)". The record is from RNAcentral. Lineage: Eukaryota; Metazoa; Chordata; Mammalia; Rodentia; Muridae.
UUAAAAGCAGCUUGUGCUGUGUUGAGGAAUCUGAACAUCACUGGGCAGGACAAGUGGGGCCUUUAAAAGAGACAAGCAGCGAAAUCAGAUCCAGGUAAACUCAACAUGCAGCCAUCGCUGUGGGAGAUAAUGCACUUGACAAGUACGCUAUACUCUAUGCUAUAUAUUAUGUUUUAAAGCUAAUGCUAUUAUCAUUUGUUAUGUUAAAGCUAAUGGGAACGAAAGUAGAGUUAACAGCAUGACUAUUUUCUGUCCCUGGAACACUUGCGUGCUACUCCUCUGGUACAGCUUUCUUAACUCCCUUGAAAUUUAAACACAAUUUUUCUCUGAAACGUAAUCUUUUAAAACAGGUUUGUUAAUUUCACGAAAAUUUUGUAAGAGACAUUCCAUACCUGAGACACUUUGCCUGUUGGAAUCUGAGUCCCCAUUACUGGAAUUAGAAUUAUUGGAAGAGUUGUUGUCAACCCCUCCCAGAAGGGGGCGCAAGUGGCUUACUGAGACUUGUUCAAUGAAAGAUGUUCCAUACUUGCGAAAAUACCACCAUUCAAAUAUCUAGAACAGAAAGAUAAUGCAUGUUUAUGACG